UUUGUGGCUGAAAUCAAGGUCAGAUGUUACACAAGCUAAAAGGAACAAAAUGUGAACCAUAUUCAGCUGUAGAAGAGCAGAAGGUAACAAUACUGAUGUCAAUAUUAUAAUGAAAGCAGCCAAAUAAGGUUCUGCAUAGUUUCUGAUGACUUUGUCACCAAAUCUUGAUUCUAUUCACAUAGAGCAAAUGCACAUCCUGAUAUGUGCAUAAUUACACUUCUGAAUGCAAGCUAUACAUCCUCACUAGUCACUGAUAUGUGCAUAAUUACACUUCUGAAUGCAAGCUAUACAUCCUCACUAGUCACUGAUAUGUGCAUAAUUACACUUCUGAAUGCAAGCUAUACAUCCUCACUAGUCACUGAUAUGUGCAUAAUUACACUUCUGAAUGCAAGCUAUACAUCCUCACUAGUCACUGAUAUGUGCAUAAUUACACUUCUGAAUGCAAGCUAUACAUCCUCACUAGUCACUGAUAUGUGCAUAAUUACACUUCUGAAUGCAAGCUAUACAUCCUCACUAGUCACUUGAAUAGCAGGGGGGAAAGUUUACGUGUACAUGGAUUAUGCAACAAGCCAAUCUAAUUGACAGAUAAUUGGGCCUAAGAGACUAUACUGCAUUAUAUUAGCUACAACUCUUCUAUAUGAGAUUAUCUUUCCACAACAAAAAUGUAAAAAAGCAAGUUAUUUUCUCUUCCUUCACCUCCAAAUGGAGUAAUGGACUGAGGUUUCUCCUAAAGUCUUACCCCAAAAAUCCCAGCUAUUUUGUUUUGCAGAGGGGAUGAAGUAGUAAACCAUGUAGUUUUCUGUUUCUCGACAAUCCAAAGUAGAUAUGACAGUUCUUCCCAUCUAUUCUAGCCUUGCUGAGCAGAGUUUCCUGAUACCUGCUGUAGGUGGGAGGUGAUAGGUAUCCCGUGGAAUUAGUUGAGGUGCACACAAGCUGACCCGAACACCACGGUUACCAAAAAUAUUCAGAUAUAACAGACGCUAGCUGACAAAUGUUUUGGUGAGGUUCUAACCACCCAAAACACGAGUUGCAAGACUUCCAACGAACAGUCAUAUGAUAUAGAAAUAGCAAUUUUACAUGGUUUGGCUUCUGUAAAAAAAAAUAGAUCUUAGACCUAACUCAACCCCAAAAACCAGUUCAUGAGGGGAGGAUAAUCCAGGCCAUAUAAAGAGACCACAUUCCUUAGCCGAUGCGGGAUACUUAAGUCAACACCUCUCCUCAUGCCCAGGUUUGGACAUUAGAAGCGCGACAAUUUAAUAUAAAGAGACCAAAUGAUAAAUCUGAAUUGGGAUGGACUUGACUCUGAUACCAUGAUAAAUGGAUCAUGGGUCUAACUCAACCUCAAAAGCUAGCUCUGAGAGGAGGGUUGUCCAAGUGAUAUAAAGAGACCAAAUCCCCCAUGCCUUAACCGAUGUGGGAGACUCAACAGCAUCUUCAAGAUAGCUCAGCUUGAGGAUUAAGAAAAAGAUAACCUAGACCAAAGACAAUAUAAAAUCCUAAUUUACUGGUUUAGCACUCAUUUGCAGGCUACUCCAAAAACCUCUUCACUUAGCCCCUGUCUGCUACUUCAACCACACAACUGAAAAUAGAAUAAGAUUUAUCAUUUGGUCCACAUGUAGUGAAGUCAUCAGGAGAAAAUGCUUGGAUCUUCAUAGGCCAUGAUCUUUAGAUUAUUAUUUUUGGAGGGUGUUUGGAUUAUGUUGAGUCAUGUCAAUGGAUAUUAAGAGCUUGUUGAGCUGUGACAAGGACCAGAGAGUAUACAGAACUUUGAGGAUGCUCUGAAAGACUAUUACAUUAUGCAUUCUAUGGACUGUUUGGCUAGAGAUAAGCAAAAAAUGCUCCAAGGUGAAAAAAAUUCAUGUUCCAUAAGUAAUGCAGUUUACAAAAUUUAUACUUUGUGCACCAAAGGGUGUGGCCUAGUGGUCAAUGGACAGCGUUGAGAACCAUUUAGAAGCUCAUUACCACCUAAAUGUGUACAAACGCUUGUUUGUGUCCAGGAUUAGCUUAGAGAAGAGACUAAUCCUAUUCGUGCUAAAGAAAACUUGGGAGUAUCAUGAGCAAUUUGAAAUUGGUAAGGUUUUGUAUCAUGUUUUGUGUGCUGCAAAAUAAAAUACAUGUUUAUGUUGUAUGAAGUAUUUGAUUAAAUUAUUUUAGAGAUGGCAACGAAUGGAAGAGAAUCUUGCAUUGUUGAUGUAGGAUUGCAAUUUGCUACUAGUGGUGAGUUCAAUACUUUAUUUGUUUGGUAAUAUCCUUUCGUACUUUGUAAUUUUAUUCUUUCAUCUUGAAAGCUAUAUUCUAACAUCUGGUUUUAUCUUACUUUUUAUUAGGUUCAAGUCCAUGCCUCCUAAAGUUCGGUCACUGGUUUGGGAACAUUUUAUCAUGGUUCAAGACAAUGAAGAAAGGCAGAAAGCAAGGUGCUUGACAUGUGGUGUGAUAAUUAUCAUCCAAGAACUAAUGGGACAAGUAAUUUAAUGAAUCACAUCAAGAGAUGUCUUGAGCAUCGUAUCUAUCAAGAAAGGCUGAUCCGUAAUAACCCUAUGUAUUGAAUUUCGUGAAUUUUAGACUUAAUUUGUGAUUGCUUGUUUUUGAUGAUGGAUUUAUAUUUGUAUUUGGUUGUUGCUAGUUUAUCCCUUAGCGAAAGGCAGUUGUUAGUUGUUUGGCUGCUGCUUGAUUUGCCUUAGUGACUAGUGAGGCUGCAUUUUCAUUUUAAGACAUGGUGUUCACUUUGGCUGACUUUUGUGCUUGCAAAUUUAAGCUGCUGCAGACCUGCAGUGCUGCUGAAUUUUAAGUUACUGUGGUGCUGUUAGUUGUUUGGCUGGUGCGUUUGCUGAAUUUUAAGCUGGCUGUUGCUAAAUUUAAGCUGUUGUUUGCCUUGAGCAAUUAUAAUUUUUUUUUUUUUUGAUAAUUAGUAGUUUAGUACUGUUGUAUUCUUCAGCAUUAAGGAAUGUUGGCCACCUCCAAAAAAAUUACAGGGUAGUAAGGUUAGACUCUAAGCUUUACAGAGCACCUAAGAAAUCUACCUGCUCAUCUACUUCCUCUAUACAAUUUCCUUAGCACCAAGAGAAUAAAAACACUAAGCAGUUCCAUUUCACAUCAUGUAUGGACCUGAUCUUGUCUUCAAAACAUCUCCCAUUUCUUUCUUUCCAUACUGUCCACCAUAUAUAUUAAAGGAAUUAUCCUCCACCAGUUUUUCUGACUCUUGCUACCCCCUCUUUUCAUCCAGCAGCUCAUCAAGUCAGCAGUAUACUCAGGCAUUGUCCACUCAGUAUUUGUGAGGCUGAGAAAUAGGUUCCACAAUUGUGAAGUAAACAUUAAAUGUAAAAAAAGAUGGUUAUUUGUCUCCCCAAGUCUCAUUACACAAAAAACAUAUUGUCACUACUAUUCUCCCCUUCUUUUGUAGAACCUCAUGUCAUGUGUCAAUCAUGCUCUCUUCACCACAAGCCAAGUGAAGCAUUUAACAUUGACGGGAGCCAUGCUCUUCCAUUUGCUUGAGCACUCACCUUGCUCACACUAUUGUCCCUCUUGUACAUUUUUCACAGAGAAAAUGUCAUCCUUUGAAAGAUGCCAUCUCAGUGAAUCAGAUUGCAUUGUGGUGCCAGCGAAAUUCUCCACUUCACACAAAAAGGUUGCCACCCUAUCAUGCCCUUUCCUUGUUGCCUUUCCAUAGGAAGUCUCUCCUCAAUUUGUUUAGCUUCUUAAUCACAAUUGCAGGUAUAGGAAAUAGAGACAUCACAUAGGUGGGAAGCGAGUCCAACACUGAGUUGAUUAGUGUGACCCUUCCUCCUAGUGAAAGAUACUGGGCUUUCCACUGAGCCAACUUCUUGUUAGCUUUCUCUAUAAUGCUAUCCCAAAUCUCCACAUCCUUAUGUUUUUCUGCCUAAAGGCAUCCCUAGGUAUACUCUGUGGGCAGAUUACCUACACCACACCCAAGAAUGAUAGCAAGGGUCUGGAUGUUUGGCACUUC
RNAcentral lists this long non-coding RNA (3964 nucleotides) under Solanum tuberosum (potato). RNAcentral describes it as "long non-coding RNA (STUB_LNC008054)". Lineage: Eukaryota; Viridiplantae; Streptophyta; Magnoliopsida; Solanales; Solanaceae. The record is from RNAcentral.